This 447-nucleotide ribosomal RNA is filed under the name uncultured bacterium. RNAcentral describes it as "bacterial SSU rRNA". It matches the Rfam family "Bacterial small subunit ribosomal RNA", at positions 355 to 825 of the family's 1533-position model. The record is from RNAcentral.
UGGGGAAUAUUGGACAAUGGGCGCAAGCCUGAUCCAGCCAUGCCGCGUGAGUGACGAAGGCCUUAGGGUUGUAAAGCUCUUUUGGCGGGGAAGAUAAUGACGGUACCCGCAGAAUAAGCUCCGGCUAACUUCGUGCCAGCAGCCGCGGUAAUACGAAGGGGGCUAGCGUUGUUCGGAAUUACUGGGCGUAAAGCGCACGUAGGCGGAUCAGCAAGUCAGGGGUGAAAUCCCGGGGCUCAACCUCGGAACUGCCUCUGAUACUGCUGGUCUGGAGUCCGGAAGAGGUGGGUGGAAUUCCUAGUGUAGAGGUGAAAUUCGCAGAUAUUAGGAAGAACACCGGUGGCGAAGGCGGCCCACUGGUCCGGUACUGACGCUGAGGUGCGAAAGCGUGGGGAGCAAACAGGAUUAGAUACCCAGGUAGUCCCUGAGCGGGCUGGCAAGGCGCAU